Molecule: transfer RNA, 40 nt
Filed under: Cucujoidea sp. 2 KM-2017
Lineage: Eukaryota; Metazoa; Arthropoda; Insecta; Coleoptera
Description: partial tRNA-Ile
Source: RNAcentral
AGGGUUAUUUUGAUAGAAUAAAUCAUGUAUUACUUACCUU